Molecule: transfer RNA, 72 nt
Filed under: Ovis aries (sheep)
Lineage: Eukaryota; Metazoa; Chordata; Mammalia; Artiodactyla; Bovidae
Rfam family: tRNA
About the family: Transfer RNA (tRNA) molecules are approximately 80 nucleotides in length. Their secondary structure includes four short double-helical elements and three loops (D, anti-codon, and T loops). Further hydrogen bonds mediate the characteristic L-shaped molecular structure. tRNAs have two regions of fundamental functional importance: the anti-codon, which is responsible for specific mRNA codon recognition, and the 3' end, to which the tRNAs corresponding amino acid is attached (by aminoacyl-tRNA synthetases). tRNAs cope with the degeneracy of the genetic code in two manners: having more than one tRNA (with a specific anti-codon) for a particular amino acid; and 'wobble' base-pairing, i.e. permitting non-standard base-pairing at the 3rd anti-codon position.
Source: Rfam by way of RNAcentral
UCCCUUGUGGCUCCGCUGGUAAAGUAUCUGCCUGCAAUGCAGGAGACCUGGGUUCAAUCCCUGGAUUGGGAA